UACGAAGGGGGCUAGCGUUGUUCGGAAUUACUGGGCGUAAAGCGCACGUAGGCGGAUAUUUAAGUCAGGGGUGAAAUCCCGGGGCUCAACCCCGGAACUGCCUUUGAUACUGGAUAUCUUGAGUUCGGAAGAGGUAAGUGGAAUUGCGAGUGUAGAGGUGAAAUUCGUAGAUAUUCGCAGGAACACCAGUGGCGAAGGCGGCUUACUGGUCCGAUACUGACGCUGAGGUGCGAAAGCGUGGGGAGCAAAC
RNAcentral lists this ribosomal RNA (250 nucleotides) under uncultured prokaryote. RNAcentral describes it as "partial 16S ribosomal RNA". It matches the Rfam family "Bacterial small subunit ribosomal RNA", at positions 524 to 773 of the family's 1533-position model. The record is from RNAcentral.